Notolabrus celidotus (New Zealand spotty) is the source of this 2607-nucleotide RNA transcript. It is a transcript of the gene named nephronophthisis 1, with no coding region annotated. The record is from RefSeq and is a predicted model, not a curated record. The transcript has 22 exons. Lineage: Eukaryota; Metazoa; Chordata; Actinopteri; Labriformes; Labridae.
GUUACAAACUCUGGUGCAGUAGGUGGCGGUAUGUACCUUUUUAAGUUGGUUGCGAUCCGCCAAUAAAUCGAGUGAAGAAGAAGGAGAACCAGUUGCCUAGAGACCCGAGGAAGUGUAGCGUCUGCUAGCAUGCUAGGUGAUCUGCUAACACAUGGAUUAUACCAACAGACUGUAUGAUUAUACCAAUAGACUGUAUGAUUAUACUUCAUUAAGAGCAGAUAAAUGCCACCAAAAAGAAGAGGACCACUGCAACUCGUCCAGAGAGAAGUGGACGAAUUAAGAAAACAGGUUGACAGUCUGGUGAAGGAUGUGCGGAGUCACGAUGGAUCCAAUGAGGAGGCAUUUCGAAGGUGUCAAGAGCUGCAGAUAUCAGCAGAGAAAACACAAAGGACGCUGAAUAAUCUGACCAAGGCCGAUGAGCUGGCUCCAGUUGGAAACUAUGAUCAGAGGAAGCAGGAGGAGGAGAGACGACUGCAGAAUCUCCUGGAGCAGAUAAACACCCUCUCUCUGGAACUGUCCCCACCAGGACCCAGUACUACUGCAGGUGAUGAUUCAAAGGGUGAUAGUGAGGAUGAUGAUGAAGAUAGUAGUGAUGAUGAUGACGAUGACGAUGAUGAUGAGGAGAAGGAAGCUGGGAAACCACCCACUCAGUCAGAGCCUCGUCUCUACACUGUUCUCAGUGAUUUCAAAGGAGAACAGGAGGGAGAUCUGUCUGUGCAGAGAGGGGAGGUGUUGACAGUCAUCAAGAGGACAGCAGAUGGAUGGUGGCUGUCUCAGGACAGCAAAGGCAACAGAGGAGUGGUUCCUAAAACCUACCUGAAGACUGGCACUGGUGUUGAUGAUGACAAUGAUGAAGAUGAUGAAGACGAAAAUGAUGAGGAGUCGGAGGACGAGCAAGAUGAUGAUGAUGAACUGACUGACGAUGGAGCGAAAGAAAGUGGUACUUCCAACUGGGGUCCUGUCAAAAAGGCUUUGACUGAGAUUGAUGCCACAGAUGUGCUCUCUGCCAUGGGGGCUAUACCAUCAGGAUUCAGACCAUCAACUCUCAAUAAACUGCUAGUGGAGGAAGGUGAAACAUACAGAGGAAGUCACUACAUUCAGCCAAAACUCAGUGAAUCCAAACUCUCCUUUUGCGACCUCUUCCUUGACCCAGACACUGGCCGGGUUCGAGCUCGUCAGGUCCGGACAUGUGCUUGUUUCUCUCUGUGGAGCUGCAGGAUGAUUCCCACUCCAGGCGUUGGAGUUCAGGUCCUCAGCAGACACAUCCGCAUCUGUGCCUUUGAUGGAACUCAGGUAUUGAGUAAUAUCCACACUGUGAGGGCGACUUACAACUCCAAAAGCCCCAAGACCUGGACCUUUAAUCCAAGGGUAGCAGGUAUCCUACCCACUCUCCUGGAUGGAGACUGUUUCCUACGCUGCAACUCUGCAUCCCCUGACCUCGGUAUCCUCUUUGAACUGGGAGUCACCUUUAUAAGGAAUUCAACAGGUGAGAGAGGAGACCUGAGCUGCGGCUGGGCUUUCCUCAAACUGACCGAUGACUCUGGAAAUCCAAUUCCAUACAGGACCUAUGAUUUGCCAGUGAAUGGGGGCACUCCCUAUGAGAAGGAUGUGGCAAUGGAGGCGACAGUCACUCGAGGAUCUCCAGCAGGUGUUUUCCAGCAGAUGCUGCAAGCCAGGCGGCAGCCCAAACUCAUUGUGAAGAUGAAAUCAGUCAACAACCGAACCAGAACACAGCUCAGCCACCUCCCAGACACUCUGAUGCACAGUCUGAACUGUGUCCACCUGCUGGCGAUACACAGGCAGCUGCUGGCUGAUGCCCUCCUAUUGGACAGGCCAACCAUGCAGAAUGCAGAUCCAAUAUGCAGUCCUAUACUUGCUACCUUCCCAAAGCUGUUAGACCAACCAGACCUGCUGGAUGCUCUCAGGAGUGCAUGGCUGGGUGCUGAGACCACCAUGACAAGGGCACAGAAGAGAGACUUGUGCUAUUUAAAACAGGAGUUCAGGAAAGUCUACAUGUUCGCCUAUUUCCUCCUCCACUCGCCUUCGCUGCCCUGCUAUCGCUGGGCGGACCCGCCUUCAGAGGAGCAGCGGGCCAGAGUUAUCUUCUCCACCCUGGAAGCUUUCAAACACAACCAGCAAACCGCCAGCCAAUCAGGAGGGACAGAGCUCUUUAUGGACCCCACACAUCAGCACCUCGCCUUUGAUGUCACAGAGUUAACCUUUGACCUCCUCCAAGUGGUGCGGUGACAUCACAUCUCUUGUAGAGGAGCCAGGUAUAAAAGAAGGAGAGCAGUGAGAGGCUGGACCAGUCUGGGUUCAGAGAGGCUGGAUUAUCCUUCAGUUGUGGUUUCACAUCGAUGGUAACAAGUAUUAUCAGGGUGGAUCAUUGUGUCUGAGAAGGAGGAAGAGAAGGGGGGGAGCAGAGCAGGUCAGGACCAGUUGAGCAGAAAAUGGGAGUUUCCAGAGAAGAUGGAAAGAUGAUCCAAGAGAGCAAGAAAAGUUUUUUUUCUUUUUCAUCAGAAAAAAAACACAGUAGAUCCAUUACAAGAUUCAUCAAAGCAAAUAAAGAAAUUAAGACCAGAAGACUGCUCCAGGUAAACAUGAAAA